GAUGAACGCUGGCGGCGUGCCUAAUACAUGCAAGUCGAGCGAACGGACGGGAAGCUUGCCUCUCUGAUGUUAGCGACGGACGGGUGAGUCACACGUGUAUAACCUAUCUAUAAGACUGGGAUAACUUCGUGAAACCGGAGCUAAUACCGUAUAAUAUUUUGAACCUCAUGGUUCAAAAGUGAAAGACGGUCUUGCUGUCACUUAUUGAUAGAUCCGCGCUGCAUUAGCUAGUUGGUAAGGUAACGGCUUACCAAGGCAACGAUGCAUAGCCGAACUGAGAGGGUGAUCAGCCACACUGGAACUGAGACACGGUCCAGACUCCUACGGGAGGCAGCAGUAGGGAAUCUUCCGCAAUGGGCGCAAGCCUGACGGAGCAACGCCGCGUGAGUGAUGAAGGUCUUCGGAUCGUAAAACUCUGUUAUUAGGGAAGAACAUAUGUGUAAGUACCUGUGCACAUCUUGACGGUACCUAAUCAGAAAGCCACGGCUAACUUCGUG
This 497-nucleotide ribosomal RNA is filed under the name uncultured bacterium. Its description in RNAcentral is "partial 16S ribosomal RNA". It matches the Rfam family "Bacterial small subunit ribosomal RNA", at positions 28 to 507 of the family's 1533-position model. The record is from RNAcentral.